UACGUAGGGGGCGAGCGUUGUCCGGAUUUAUUGGGCGUAAAGAGCUCGUAGGCGGUUUGGUAAGUCGGAUGUGAAAUCUCCAGGCUCAACCUGGAGGGGUCAUUCGAGACUGCUAUGACUAGAGUUCGGUAGGGGAGCGUGGAAUUCCUGGUGUAGCGGUGAAAUGCGCAGAUAUCAGGAGGAACACCAGCGGCGAAGGCGGCGCUCUGGGCCGGAACUGACGCUGAGGAGCGAAAGCGUGGGUAGCAAACAGG
Molecule: ribosomal RNA, 254 nt
Filed under: uncultured bacterium
Lineage: Bacteria
Description: partial 16S ribosomal RNA
Rfam family: Bacterial small subunit ribosomal RNA
Source: RNAcentral